This is a long non-coding RNA of Sapajus apella (tufted capuchin), 463 nucleotides long. RefSeq lists it as uncharacterized. The transcript is spliced from 3 exons. Lineage: Eukaryota; Metazoa; Chordata; Mammalia; Primates; Cebidae. The record is from RefSeq and is a predicted model, not a curated record.
AGUCCUCAGCCAGAUUCUUCCAGAAUCACCUUGAUAAAAGAAGUAUUGAAAUCAAGCACAGCAGGUUGGACUAUAGGGAAAUUGGCAGCAUAUUUCUUCAAGUGUGAUUUUACUUUCUUCCUGAGCAUGGCCAUCUGACCUUCUUAUUUCUGGGCUUGGCUCUAGACCCAGGACAGCGGAUGUUUAUGAGCAUUCCUUUAAAUGAAAGUGCUUAGGUUGUAGCUAUGGCUUUGUCUAGAAUAGCGAUAUCAACUGUGAGUGUAGGUCUAUCACAAAAAAAAAUUUUAACUUUCCAGAUAUAGAAGGAUGCUACCUUGCAUAGAUUUGCUCAUUAAAUAUAAAUUGCAAAAAUAAAAAUAGCACAAAGAACACCUAUACUUUGCUUAUUGAAAGAUUUGCUCACUGAAGAAGGAAAGUUGUCAUUUACCUAUGUAACAAAUCUGCACAUCCUGCACACUUUCCA